UGGGGAAUAUUGCACAAUGGGCGAAAGCCUGAUGCAGCGACGCCGCGUGAGGGAUGACGGCCUUCGGGUUGUAAACCUCUUUCAGCAGGGACGAAGCGCAAGUGACGGUACCUGCAGAAGAAGCACCGGCUAACUACGUGCCAGCAGCCGCGGUAAUACGUAGGGUGCAAGCGUUGUCCGGAAUUACUGGGCGUAACGAGUUCGUAGUCGGUUUGUCGCGUCGUUUGUGACAACCAGCAGCUCAACUGCUGGCUUGCAGGCGAUACGGGCAGACUUGAGUACUGCAGGGGAGACUGGAAUUCCUGGUGUAGCGGUGAAAUGCGCAGAUAUCAGGAGGAACACCGGUGGCGAAGGCGGGUCUCUGGGCAGUAACUGACGCUGAGGAACGAAAGCGUGGGUAGCGAACAGG
This 409-nucleotide ribosomal RNA is filed under the name bacterium. Its description in RNAcentral is "partial 16S ribosomal RNA". It matches the Rfam family "Bacterial small subunit ribosomal RNA", at positions 355 to 776 of the family's 1533-position model. The record is from RNAcentral.